This 2804-nucleotide ribosomal RNA is filed under the name Triticum aestivum (bread wheat). RNAcentral's name for it is "partial small subunit ribosomal RNA". Lineage: Eukaryota; Viridiplantae; Streptophyta; Magnoliopsida; Poales; Poaceae. The record is from RNAcentral.
AUGGGCAUCUUGCCAGUGAUCCAUGCACUACUCCCUUUCUUGGUACUCGGGUCACUAGGAAAGCUAACUGCGUUAGCAUCUGGAGUUGUAACAAGCCACAGUCCAGAACAUGAUAGUGUUCCCCGGAGUGCCUCGCUCGAAGGUUGCGUGAAGACAUGUGGCAAUCUGAGCUUCGACUAUCCCCUUGGCAUCGGGUCGAGGUACUCCCGUGGGCCUGAUUUCAAUCUCUCUUGCAACGAGACUUCCCAACCCCCCAAGCUCUUCUUGCAUGACGGCAUCACCGAGGUAACCGACGAUAUCGAUGUGAAUGAUUUCGGCCCUGGAAAUUUCAUCAGCACCUCCUUCCGGAUACCAUCCCUAUGAAAUCUGGUGUCAAAGUGUAUGACUUGUCGCUGAAAUCACCUGGGAGGUCCUUCACCCAUGGGUACACCAUUCUAAACAUCAUAGGUUGCGACCUGGAUGUGUACUGGGUCAACGACAACACCGGCGCAACCAGACGCGUCUGCAAAACUGCAUGCCUGGACCUAGGAAUUACAGAGACAGUGGCUAGGAGGAAGUGCAACGGCGUCGGUUGCUGUAGUUUUCCCAUCGAUGACAAUAGCAUCGACACUUUUCACCUCAAAUUUGUAUUGCGCCAUAGGAAAAUUAACACCGGAGCACGCCCUAACCGGACUUCUCCAUUGUGGGAUAGGAUCAGCAUAACGGACAGUGGCGGUGCCACUGUACGUUGGAAUAUGGUGGAUCAACCCAACUGUGCUUGCACGGUGCGAAACAGGACUGCCUAUGCCUAUAUCAGCGAGCAUGCCGAGUGCGUCGACAGUACAUUUUUUGACUGCCCAUUGACACGUGAUGAGUGUGUUGACUUCGGCAUGACAUCAAGCAAUGGGUACAACUGCAUCUGCGGUGCCGGCUAUACAGGGUAUAAUCCAAUUGCAAGCAGAGCUGAUUGUACCCGUUCGUGUGGUAACAUUAGUGUGCAGUUCCCAUUCGGCAUAGAAGAGGGUUGCUUUGCGAGGGAAGAUUUUCACCUCAAUUGCUCAGUUACGACUUCAUCAGCUGUCCUCAUGUUGGCACAUCUGGAGGUAAACAGCAUGAAUGUUGAUGAAGGGGCUAUUAAUAUCACCAAUCCUGAGCAAAAAGGAGGAUUCACCCUGUCUGGAGGAGGACCUGAUCUUUUUUAUUCAUAUGGGACAUUGUUCUCCCCUCUGCAAUGGGUUGCUGCAAAUCUAAGUUGCAUAGAGGCCCAACAGAAUAGAUCUGGAUAUGCUUGUGUGAGUCUCAACAGCAAGUGCGUUGAAGUAAACACUGCAGACAUCUAUGUUGGUUAUCACUGCAAAUGCGCAGAUGGCUUCCAAGGAAAUCCAUACGUCCAAAGUGGUUGUAGAGACAUUGAUGAAUGCAUUCAGCCAAACAAUUGUAAUGGGAUCUGCCAUAAUAUUGAAGGAAGCUUCUUUUGUACUGGAUGUUCUCGCAAGACUGAGUAUGAUCCAACGAAAAUGCAGUGUACUAGAAGGAAACAACAGACUCUGCUUUUAGGUAUAAUAAUUGGGUUGUCUUGUGGUUUGGGUGUCCUAUUUCUGAGCUUCAGUGUAGUGCUUCUCACUCGCACAUGGAAAAGAAAUGUUAGAAAGCAACUACGAAAAAAAUAUUUCCGGAAGAACCAAGGUCUUCUCCUAGAAACGUUGAUAUCAUCUGAUGAAACUGCAAAUGAGAAUACUAAGAUUUUCUCGCUAGAAGAGCUGGAGAAGGCAACAAACAACUUUGAUCCUACACGUAUCAUUGGACGUGGGGGCCAUGGCCUUGGGGUUUUCUUGUCUGAUCAACUUGUUGUUGCAGUAAAAAUGUCUAUGGUCAUCGAGCAGUCUGAAAUCAGUCAAUUCAUCAAUGAGGUCGCAAUGCUUACUCAGAUAAACCACAGAAAUAUUGUGAAGCUCUUUGGGUGUUGUCUUGAAACCGAGGUUCCAUUGUUGGUGUAUGAUUAUGCAUCCAGCGGCUCACUGUCUGAAGUUCUGCAUGCAGCUGCAAGUGAUGGUUUUUCUUUGACUUGUGGUGAUUAUUUAAGGAUUGCCCUGGAAACAGCAGGUGCUCUGUCUUAUCUCCACUCUUCGGCUUCAAUAUCAAUCUUCCAUCGUGACGUGAAGUCCUCAAAUAUACUCUUGGAUGGGAAUUACACAGCUAAAGUUUCAGACUUUGGUGCUUCUAGAUUGGUUCCAAUCGAUCAAACACAUAUUGUGACAAAUGUGCAAGGUACAUUUGGGUACUUAGAUCCAGAGUAUUUCCAUACCAGGCAGCUCAACGGGAAGAGCGACAUGUACAGUUUUGGUGUGGUACUACUGGAGUUGCUUCUGAGAAUGAAGCCUGUUUUUACAAGUGAAUCAGGCACAGUCAAGAGCUUAUCAAACUAUUUUCUGCAGGAGUUCAACAAGGGGAGAAUCACAUGUAUUGUUAAUUCUCAUAUCCUUGUGGAGGCAACUGAGGAAGAGAUCAACAGUGUCGCCUCUUUGGCAGAGGAGGUGCUUGUGGCUACACGGCGAAGAAAGACCAACCAUGAAACAGGUGGAGACGGAACUGCAGACUAUCUAUAUAUAUACCUAUUUACUAAUAAAAGGGUUAUUGCUUCUUACCAUCAUAAUUUCGUCUGUUUUUGGUCUCACCGUCAAACUUCUGUCCGUAUGGUUCAUCUCGUACGUUCAGAGGGUCAGAGAGAAAAGAUCAAAGGGAGUGGGAGAGAGGCGCAGCGGCGGAGCUCACUCACCUCGCCGGUCCCCCGCUGGGCGACGAACGAGCAAGGGAGGGGAGACUGA